This is a non-coding RNA of Lentinula detonsa, 81 nucleotides long. NCBI's taxonomy places the organism in Eukaryota, Fungi, Basidiomycota, Agaricomycetes, Agaricales, Omphalotaceae. The record is from the annotation of a GenBank genome assembly.
UCCGAUAUGGUGUAGUGGCUAACAUUAUCGCCUCUCACUUUGUUUGCGCGAUAGCCCGGGGUUCGAUUCCCCGUGUCGGAA